UUACUACUGUCUUGUAAAGCACACUGAACCCUCCAUUCUCUGCAGGUAGAGCAGCUCUUUAAGGACCAGAGAAUCCUAGUCGCAUAUGAUCUAUUGGACCACUUAAGUGAAAUAAACCUUCCUUAUAUUUGGAGACAUACGUAUAAUUCUAUUGGACGACAUUGCUAUUUUAUUUUGUAGUUUGUGAAUUUUAACUGGUCGGCUUUCAUUUCAUAUAGACAUUGAAUUGGAGCAGCUAGUCUUCUUAGCUUUGACAAUGUAGCAGUUAAUAGAUCCAUUUAAUUCAUUUUGAAAGUUUGGAGAAAGAAAUACUUGACUGAUUUAAUCUGUUAGGUGUAUAUGUGUGUGGCUUAUUUUUAUUUUUGUUUUGAACAUUUGGUUAGCUUCUUUGUCUCUAGUUAGAUUUUUUUUUUUUUCCAUAAAACUAGUUGUCCCCUCCCUGAUUUCAUUGUGAGUAUGAAUUUGAGAUACACACAAACACACACAAGGUUGGCAACAAACCCACUCUUGUCAGAGUUUCACCCUUGUUAACUCGUAGAAACUUGAAUCAGAGAAGGAUUAGGUUGCCAGACAGGAAAUAUCAUCUUAGAAAUGAUGGUCUGAAGGUCAGAUUUUAAAAGUUUUUAAAAUACAUCGUUCUGAUAGCCCCUCUUAAGCCUUUUCUCAAUUUUUCUUUCAAUGCAGGUGCCAUUCUUCAGUGAUGAUGAAGAAACACCUAGUACGCCGAAGACAGAUGCUCUUUUCAUUCCUCGGGAGAAUCCAAGGGCAUUGGUUAUUCGUCCCACGGACCAGUGGCCCACAAGAUCUGGUGCAGAAAAGCAGUCUCCAUUGAAAGAUACAGAUGUGCCAGUUCAUCAAGAUGGUGGAAGCUUUAGCAGUUCAAUUGACUCACUAGGAAGGAGAGAUACUUCAAGAAAAAACCAGAAGUGAAAAAGAUAGCAAAUUGUCCUAAGCAGGGAAGAGAGAAAAGAGCAUGCUAUCUGAUCUUGAGAAAGCAUGUGUAGAAUGUAGAUAAGAUAGCUGUUGCAGAGGAGUUGCUGAAAAAGAAGAAGCUGGUCAUUAGCUACCCUUAUUUAAUAGUUAUUUUGAUUUCAUAGCCUGUGAUCUAAGUGAAGGUAUCACCCUUAAUAGAGUUGAAUGGUUGAAUCAUUAUGUAGUUUAUGGAAAAAUCUGAUUUCCAUGGCGAAUAGUGCUCACUGAGAUCAGAUUCUAUAUUCAAAUAAAA
Magnolia sinica is the source of this 1225-nucleotide long non-coding RNA. RefSeq lists it as uncharacterized. The transcript is spliced from 3 exons. Lineage: Eukaryota; Viridiplantae; Streptophyta; Magnoliopsida; Magnoliales; Magnoliaceae. The record is from RefSeq and is a predicted model, not a curated record.